CGGGCGCUAAUGAACCGUCCAUGGUGGUCUUUUGGAUCGUGAGGCGGAGAAUGUCUCGGUCAACUGAGGGGCUAGUAUUUCUGAAAACGGACUCUACUCCAUGAAUGAUGGUGAUGGUGACGGUGGUAGUGGUGAGUUGGCGGCAGAUAGUUUUAGACUUCGUUGCAAGAUGUGAAGUGUUGCCGGCAAUCUUCUCCGCUACGACCACGCCGUCCUGCUUCGUAGAACGCGUCGAAAGGCGAUGCACUCGACCUCUCCAGGACAAAACUUGCUGCAUACCUACACAGGCGUAGAUCAGAAGAUAACUGAAUAAAUGGAGCUGUGAUUCUGUGCAGAAACUGGGCGGUGUUGGUGAAUAGAUCCUUAUUAGAUUACGUGAUGCAUAGUUAAACGGCCAGUUUGUCAACAGAAUUAAGAAAGAAAUUUUCUGAGGCCUUCCAGUAAGAUUAUUGGAAGAACCAGACAUUUCGGAAAAUAUUUAAUUUUAUUUUACUUAAACUUGGGUUAUUCAGAGCUGAUAUACAUGUACUUUAAUAUCAAUAAUGUUAUUGCUUCUUGUUCAAUGAGAGAUGUGAGGUGAAGCACCUGACAAUGAAGUUAAGGACUCUGA
Molecule: non-coding RNA, 610 nt
Organism: Zootermopsis nevadensis
Lineage: Eukaryota; Metazoa; Arthropoda; Insecta; Blattodea; Termopsidae
Source: RefSeq, a predicted model, not a curated record